Molecule: ribosomal RNA, 381 nt
Filed under: uncultured bacterium
Lineage: Bacteria
Description: bacterial SSU rRNA
Rfam family: Bacterial small subunit ribosomal RNA
Source: RNAcentral
GAUGAACGCUGGCGGCGUGCCUAAUACAUGCAAGUCGAGCGAACCACUUCGGUGGUGAGCGGCGAACGGGUGAGUAACACGUAGGUGAUCUGCCCAUCAGACGGGGACAACGAUUGGAAACGAUCGCUAAUACCGGAUAGGACGAAAGUUUAAAGGUGCUUCUGGCACCGCUGAUGGAUGAGCCUGCGGCGCAUUAGCUAGUUGGUAGGGUAAAGGCCUACCAAGGCGACGAUGCGUAGCCGACCUGAGAAGGUGAACGGCCACACUGGGACUGAGACACGGCCCAGACUCCUACGGGAGGCAGCAGUAGGGAAUCUUCGGCAAUGGGCGAAAGCCUGACCGAGCAACGCCGCGUGAAUGAUGAAGGCCUCGGGUUGUAAA